UGCCAAUGUCUGGAAUAGGUUGUUUCCCGCAAUGUAAAAGGAUUUUUACUUGUUUUACGCUCCAGCUUAGAGAGGCAUUCUUAGAUGCUGUUUGCAAGAUUACAUUAUUGGAUCGAAUAAGUGGUGGCCAGUUACCUCUCUACACAACCUGAGAUAUAUCUCUAAGCGAGGACACAAAGCAGG
RNAcentral lists this long non-coding RNA (183 nucleotides) under Fukomys damarensis (Damara mole-rat). RNAcentral's name for it is "lncRNA (ENSFDAG00000028828.1)". Lineage: Eukaryota; Metazoa; Chordata; Mammalia; Rodentia; Bathyergidae. The record is from RNAcentral.